GGAGAGGUGCCCGGAGUGGCUUAUCGGGGACCGGAGCCCAGGCUCUUGGUCGGGUCGGUGCGGCCUGCGCAGGUUCGAAUCCUGCCCUCUCCGCC
RNAcentral lists this transfer RNA (95 nucleotides) under Streptomyces mashuensis. Its description in RNAcentral is "tRNA-Leu". It matches the Rfam family "tRNA". Rfam says of the family: Transfer RNA (tRNA) molecules are approximately 80 nucleotides in length. Their secondary structure includes four short double-helical elements and three loops (D, anti-codon, and T loops). Lineage: Bacteria; Bacillati; Actinomycetota; Actinomycetes; Kitasatosporales; Streptomycetaceae. The record is from RNAcentral.